RNAcentral lists this non-coding RNA (44 nucleotides) under Schistosoma mattheei. Lineage: Eukaryota; Metazoa; Platyhelminthes; Trematoda; Strigeidida; Schistosomatidae. The record is from RNAcentral.
AUCCAGCUGGCGAGUCCUAAUAAGACGAAACGCGCGUCCUGGAU